AUUGAACGCUAGCGGGAUGCUUUACACAUGCAAGUCGAACGAGUGGCGGACGGGUGAGUAAUAUAUCGGAACGUGCCCAGUAGCGGGGGAUAACUACUCGAAAGAGUGGCUAAUAACGCAUACUAUUGGAGCGGCCGAUAUCGGAUUAGCUAGUUGGUGGGGUAAAGGCUCACCAAGGCAACGUACCGUAGCUGGUUUGAGAUGACGACCAGUCACACUGGGACUAAGACACAGCCCAGACUCCUACGGGAUGCAGCAGUGGGGAAUUUUUGACAAAGGGGGAAACCCUGAUCCAGCCAUCCCGCGUGUAUGAAAAUGCCUUCGUGUUGUAAAGUACUUUUGGCAGAGAAGCGGUAUCUGCGGCAUAAGCACCGGCUAACUACGUGCCAGCAGCCGCGGUAAUUC
RNAcentral lists this ribosomal RNA (405 nucleotides) under uncultured bacterium. RNAcentral describes it as "partial 16S ribosomal RNA". It matches the Rfam family "Bacterial small subunit ribosomal RNA", at positions 30 to 526 of the family's 1533-position model. The record is from RNAcentral.